UGGGGAAUUUUCCGCAAUGGGCGAAAGCCUGACGGGGCAAUACCGCGUGAGGGAGGAAGGCUUUUGGGUUGUAAACCUCUUUUCUCAAGGAAGAAGAUCUGACGGUACUUGAGGAAUCAGCAUCGGCUAACUCCGUGCCAGCAGCCGCGGUAAUACGGAGGAUGCAAGCGUUAUCCGGAAUGAUUGGGCGUAAAGCGUCUGCAGGAGGCUAUGCAAGACAGCUGAUAAAGAGUGGAGCUCAACUCCAUAAGGGCAGUGGAAACUGCGUAACUAGAGUACGUUCGGGGUAGGGGGAAUUCCUGGUGUAGCGGUGAAAUGCGUAGAUAUCAGGAAGAACACCGGUGGCGAAAGCGCUCUACUAGGCCGUAACUGACACUGAGAGACGAAAGCUAAGGGAGCGAAUGGGAUUAGAUACCCGGGUAGUCC
Molecule: ribosomal RNA, 426 nt
Filed under: uncultured prokaryote
Description: bacterial SSU rRNA
Rfam family: Bacterial small subunit ribosomal RNA
Source: RNAcentral